This 263-nucleotide unclassified non-coding RNA is filed under the name Hevea brasiliensis (rubber tree). Lineage: Eukaryota; Viridiplantae; Streptophyta; Magnoliopsida; Malpighiales; Euphorbiaceae. The record is from RNAcentral.
AUUUAAUUAUUUUUUUAAUUAUGAUGUAAAAAUCUUAAAUAAUAAAUAAAAGUUGAUAGAGAUAAAUAUUUAAAGACGGCAUAGUUGGAGAGCCGGCAAUUGAGGGUGUACAAGUGAAGCAGCAUAUAGAGUUUUAAAAAUUAAGCUCAGCGACAACCUUGCUGUAAGAGUGUUAGUUAGAGAACUAUUUUGAGAGGUUAAACAUAUUGGAUGUGUUAGAUGUAAAGAUAUAUGAUGAGGAUAAAACUCUCACUCUCUUGUCG